Stomoxys calcitrans (stable fly) is the source of this 1036-nucleotide long non-coding RNA. RefSeq lists it as uncharacterized. The transcript is spliced from 3 exons. NCBI's taxonomy places the organism in Eukaryota, Metazoa, Arthropoda, Insecta, Diptera, Muscidae. The record is from RefSeq and is a predicted model, not a curated record.
UUGGUGAGCUUUUCGAUUUUUAACUAUUCGAUAAAAUGGAUCAAAGAAACUGCAUUAAGUUUUGUAUAAAUAAAAAGCGCGUUUAAGAAGUGUUGCAAGGAUUUGAAAGAAGGAAAAAAUUGGAAAAAAAUAUCUGAUGUAAAGACUUCGUAUGCUCUUUUUUCAUCGCCUUGAUCUAAUGAAAGCAAAAUUGGAACUCUUGUUUGGAUAUUCUGCCAAAGAAGGCCUGAAAAUUAUCAUAGUUAUGACCAAGUUGAUGAAGAUAGAUAUGACUCCACUCACUAUAAACGGCCAUUGCAUUGAAGAUCUUGACCAAUUCUGUUUUCUUGUCAGCAAAAUUACAAAGGAUGGAGAAUCAGAAUCAGACAUCCGCUCAAUUUCUCCAUGCCAUGGCUCAUAUACCACAACCAGUUGAAUGUCGACCAGAGGGUGUGCGAAACCUUUUGGCUGGUACACCUGAGGAAGUUAAAGGAGUUACACGAAGCUAUUAACUGAAAUCUGUACUCCUCUUUUGUUGGUUAAUAGGGCAGGUGGAUUCUGCGGUGGAUUAACAAAUAAUUGUAAGGAUUUUCGUUCUUUCCUUUCGUAAACGUUGGAGAUCUUCAUAUUUUAUUUCGCUGAGAUUGUUGCUGCGUCUGCUGGACAACAACACUUUUAAUGGGCAUUGCAUGUUGAAGAAACAUUUUCAUCACUUCCAAAAAAGGAAAUACAAGAAAACAGAAAACCACUGAACACAACGAAAAGCCCGACGACCAACUACAAACUGCAAAGAUCAGACAAUAAAAUUUAAUAAAGAUACAAAAUGGCAUGUGUGGCGGAAUUGCGUACGAGCUUUUUUUUAUUCCAUGGCCCGGAGAUGAUUCCACCAAAAUUAAACAAGGCGACAUUAUAAUCUUGUCGGUCAGCUCAAUGGUUAUGAACCAUUUAACGAUGGCAAGGUUGAAAAAAGCUUUAAAAUAAUUAUAGGAUUAAAGUUGAAUAAUGUUAACUGAACUUUAAUGUUGAACAUGUGCAAUUGCGCGUAUGAACUUGAACA